AGAGUUUGAUCCUGGCUCAGAACGAACGCUGGCGGCGCGUUUUAAGCAUGCAAGUCGAACGGUAGUGUGUCUUCGGAUGCACGAGAGUGGCGAACGGGUGAGUAACACGUAGGUAAUCUACCGACGGGCUGGGGAUAGCCUGUGGAAACACAGGGUAAUACCGAAUGAGCUCAUACUGCGGUGGCGGUAUGAGGAAAGGUGCUACGGCACCGCCCGACGAUGAGCCUGCGGCCCAUUAGUUAGUUGGUGGGGUAAGAGCCUACCAAGGCGACGAUGGGUAGCCGGCCUGAGAGGGUGAUCGGCCACAUUGGGACUGAGAUACGGCCCAGACUCCUACGGGAGGCAGCAGCUAAGAAUCUUCCGCAAUGGACGAAAGUCUGACGGAGCGACGCCGCGUGGGGGAAGAAGGCGGUGACGUUGUAAACCCCUUUUCUGCGUGAGGAAUAAGCAUAGGAGGGAAUGCCUAUGUGAUGACGGUAGCGCAGGAAUAAGCCCCGGCUAAUUACGUGCCAGCAGCCGCGGUAACACGUAUGGGGCGAGCGUUGUUCGGAAUUAUUGGGCGUAAAGGGCGCGCAGGCGGACCAACAAGUCUGGUGUGAAAGACCGCAGCUCAACUGCGGGGACGCGCUGGAAACUGUUGAACUUGAGUACCGGAGGGGAAGCUGGAAUUCCUGGUGUAGGGGUGAAAUCUGUAGAUAUCAGGAAGAACAUCGGUGGCGAAGGCGAGCUUCUGGCCGUGUACUGACGCUGAGGCGCGAAAGCGUGGGGAGCGAACAGGAUUAGAUACCCUAGUAGUCCACGCCGUAAACGAUGUGCACUAGGCGUUGGGUUUAAGCGACUCAGUGCCGGAGCUAACGCGGUAAGUGCACCGCCUGGGGAGUAUGCCCGCAAGGGUGAAACUCAAAGGAAUUGACGGGGGCCCGCACAAGCGGUGGAGCAUGUGGUUUAAUUCGAUGAUACGCGAGGAACCUUACCAGGGCUUGACAUAUACCGGGAGUCGUAAGAGAUUACGGUGCUUUUCGGAGCCGGUAUACAGGUGCUGCAUGGCUGUCGUCAGCUCGUGCCGUGAGGUGUUGGGUUAAGUCCCGCAACGAGCGCAACCCUUGUGAUCUGUUGCCAGCACGUAACGGUGGGGACUCAGAUCAGACUGCCGGUGACAAACCGGAGGAAGGUGGGGACGACGUCAAGUCAUCAUGGCUCUUAUGUCCUGGGCUACACACGUGCUACAAUGGCCGGAACAGAGUGAUGCGAAACCGCGAGGUGGAGCAAAUCGCCGAAACCCGGUCUCAGUUCGGAUUGGAGUCUGAAACUCGACUCCAUGAAGGUGGAAUCGCUAGUAAUCGCGCAUCAGCAUGGCGCGGUGAAUACGUUCCCGGGCCUUGUACACACCGCCCGUCACACCACCCGAGUUGGGGGUACCCGAAGCCGUUAGCCUAACCAGAACGGAGGGCGAUGUCGAAGGUACGCCUGGUAAGGGGGGUGAAGUCGUAACAAGGUAACC
RNAcentral lists this ribosomal RNA (1501 nucleotides) under uncultured bacterium. RNAcentral's name for it is "bacterial SSU rRNA". It matches the Rfam family "Bacterial small subunit ribosomal RNA". The record is from RNAcentral.